This is a long non-coding RNA of Dendrobium catenatum, 4801 nucleotides long. RefSeq lists it as uncharacterized. Lineage: Eukaryota; Viridiplantae; Streptophyta; Magnoliopsida; Asparagales; Orchidaceae. The transcript has 2 exons. The record is from RefSeq and is a predicted model, not a curated record.
CCACCUUAGCUAACAGAGGGCUUUGUGCCUUGUCGAUCAUAUCUUAUUGAUUCAUUGCUUAAUGAUUUAAAAUAAUUGGAGAACAUACGGGCUCUGACCAAGACCAUAACUUAAUGGUAUCAUUUGACGGCAAAAUCACUUGGUCAGAGGAUCUCGAUCAUAAACAUUUAUAUGUGGUGCCAUUUGGCGAUGAAAUCACUAGUUAGAGGACACAUGUCACGUCCUUACUGGUAAGAGACAGAUUGAAAAUGAAUCCUAGUGAUAUUCUCAACCAAACAUUUGCACUUUGUGAGCUGAAGUGCUUUCAAGUUUGUUUACCUUGGAAAACUGUUGUGUAUGGUGGAUUGAUAUUUUGCUUUAAAUGUUUUGAUUUUUAUUUCAAUUUUAAACAUUUUAUAAUUUUGUUAUUUUGUAAUUUUUGUGGGCAUUUGCGAGACAUUUUUAAAUGUUUGGGGUCCCCGCGGAUUGAGAUUUUAUGUCAAUAUGGUCAUCAUGGGGGUUUUCAUAUGCAAUUUCAUUUUAGUUAAUUGAACAUUGUCGACUCUGCCUACCUGCUGACAGAGGAUUAGGUUCAUUGUCGAGUUCAUGCCUUUAUUAGUGAAUUUUCUUUCUUAUAGGCUUUUAAGGCCUAAUAUGAAUGUAUAAAACAAAUAUAUCGAUCGGCGUCCCGACCGUACAUUUGAUUGAUGGUUCAAGUCAUGUCAACUUCUAUAUAUUCAUGUAGAAUGAUCGGGCUCGAACUUAAGUUCAUUUUUUACCCGCGGAGCAUCCUCAGAUGCCACGUGUGUACCUAUAACACGCUCGUUGGGGCCCAUGAGGUGUAUGCAUUUGCAUGUAUUUUGCAUAAUGCAUUUUAUGUAUUACAACAUGUAUACGUAUGAUGUAAAUCCAUCAUUGCAUAAUGCAUUUUAUGUCUUUGUUUGUAGGUGGGCCGUUGUAAGCAUUUUUAGUCUUAUGUUGUCAUCUGCAAGCAAGUUGCUUUACAUGCAGAUCUCUUAGUGCUUCUUAUAAGUGUUUGUAUUUAAUACAUCUCUUUUGCAUUUGCCUGUAGGCACCACAUUGUGUUCAUGAUGGAUCUUCCGCAGUGGCUCAUAGACGCUUGCAAGCGAUUAAUGUACCUACUGGAUGUUUAUUUACUAUUGGUUGUAGGAAUAAUCUAGCAUCUACUACAUGUUGUUCACUUUCAACUAUAGAUGGGCUAUUGUGCACGGCGAAUCUCUUGUACGUUUGUCAUCGUUUGCUUAAAUAUAUUUACCGGGAACCUUGCACUUGCGCUAUGUCUAUUGUUAUCAUCAACAUUAAGCUUAGUGUAUUUAUUUAUAGCGGCAUUAGUUACAUGCGAGCUGCAUUUGCUUCAAAUUCUUCAAAUACCUCUUAGUUGACGAUGCAUUGCAUAGUCGAUCAUUGCUACUUGCACAGUUGUAUGUGUUUGCUCACAUUUUGAAGUUGUCUGCAGGGCUUGCAUUUAUCUGCAAGCUAACUGCCAUCGGUCGUAGGAAGACUACGACAUUUAUAGCCUAUUAUUUGUUGGCAGAUUAAUGUGCUUAUUUGAAUGACAUUAACUACAUAUAGACUUCAUUCAUUUCAAAUUCAUCAAAUGUCUCAAAUCAUUGUGCUCGCUACAUUUCAAAUCCUUCUACUUGUAGAUGAUAGAUGCAUUUACUUGCAUGACUGAUGUGAAUGUUAUAAAUCAUUUGUUAUUGCUAAUAGGCAGGUCAUGUUCAUUGCAACUCCCUUAUUUAUGUCUAUCAGCAAGUCAUUAAAUUCACAACGCAUUUUUCGUGACUCCCCAUAGACGACUCAUUAUACACUUAUUAUGAGUCUUUCAUCGUCUUCGUAGAUGAUUACCUGUUUAUAAACAAGUUGUGUAUUGGAGUUUUGGUUCAACACAAGUCCUUACAGUUACUACAUGUUGAUGUUCAUUUGAGUUCUUUGAAUCAUUUAGGAUUUUAUAUAUUCAAUUUUAACGUGCAUUUAUUAGUUUAAGGUCUGGUUCCCUAUUAUUUUGUUCAAGUAAAGUUCCCCGUGGUUCGAUAAUCUACAAGUUCAAUCCCCUGUUGUUCAUUUAAGUCCCAUGUUCACUGAAAAAUUUGGCAGCCUCCCGGCAUCUCCCAUGAGAAAAGUAUGUAUAGUACGAUACUGCAGCCGUACUCUUCGAUCUCACCACGCUAGAGAAAGGCACAUAUGAGUUUUCAGGGGUACCUGUUUGAAAAUGCAGUUUUUCCCGCAGACACUGAGACACAUACACUAGCACUUAAAAUUGUACUCUCUACGCCAGAGAAAAGCGUGCAUAGGGUCUACCAGCCUCACUGAAAGCGUCACACCGAGUUCCCUCCCACCACACUAGGGAAAAGCGUGUAUGGGUGAUUUUUUGGUGCGACGUAAGUGUCGAAAAUAGGAUUUUUAUUUUGGGGCUUUUUGAGCUUUGAAGUUAUUAUACAUUUGCGAAGGCGAGGUCGAUAGAGACGGUGAUGUUAAUGCGACGACGAUGACAAAAUGCACGAAAAUUUCAUCUUCCCUCUUUUUUUUUUUUUUUGGUUAUUUCUUUCUUUUUUUUAUUAAUUUUCCUAGUCACUUUUAUCUUCUUUUGAUAAUAUCAAUAAUAAUAAUAAUAAUAAUAAUAAUAAGGGAUUUGGGUUAAUCUGGGUUUAGAGAGUGUGUGGUGGGUUUUUUGUUGGAAAAGUUUUGGUUGAGUGCUGUUUUGGAGGGUUGAUUUGAGCUGAAGGUGGAUUUGGGUUUUUUUCUUUGUUGUGUGCAGCUGAGAGGGGUGAUGUGGUAUUUGGUAAAACCUUCAAAUAGAAAGUAAUGAGAGGUUAGAUAAGGGAAUCUGGAAAGGGGUCGGCUAAUCGAUCGGACAUCUAUAGUUGCUGUGGAAGAUUUCAGCAAAGGGUAGAUCCGACAGGCUUGAGUGUUCAGUGUCUAUGAAUCGGCUUGCUGUAGGGAAGAUCAGAACAUCCGAUGGUUCGAUGGGAAUCGGGCAAGGGAUUUGGGGUUCGGUAGUAGUUAACGGUCAGAGGAACGUUUGAUCGUACAAAUUAGGUGGAAACACUUGUUUGUCGUUCUUGUUUUUCUCCAACCGAUCGCCAUUUUUUAUGUCAUUUGAUCGCGGAUGAACCGCACUGUUCACUCACGCCAUUUUUUGCUCUCAACCGGAAAAACGCGCGAAAGGGAGGGCGAUCGUUACCUUCUCAAAAACACCUAAAAUGACGUUCGAUUGGAGCAUCACCGCGCCAUUUUGGAGUUUUGCGUUACUUUGCCGUGAAAAAUGAAGUUUUCGGUUGGAGAUGACCUAAGGAAGGGGAUUUUAUUUGGUCCGGUUGACCGAAUGCAAGAAACAGAGUUUUUUGCCUAUACAACCGGAUGUUCAUCGGGUCGGAGGACGUAAUAAUUGUUCCUAAGGAAGGGCCUGAGGGAGAUUUGGCUAUAUGGAGUUUCAGUACAGUGAGGAACGAGUCGAACGUCGGGCUUGAUAUUGGGUUUCGUCUGGAUGAGGGAGUUGGCGGGCUGCGUGUGAGUUGUCUGCAACUGCGGCUAUAGAUGAAGGCAGGAGUGGGAGAGGGAGAUUAGAGACGGAGUCGAUCGGAUAGACACGAGCAAGUUGUCGGAUUGGAUUCGGCUCUGAGAGGGGAAACAAGUAUAGUUGGGAGGUUUGACAAAGUAUUGAUUGGUAUCGGAGCAUGAUUUUGAUCGCAGAUGGGAGGGCUCUGUGCGGCUAGGCUUGACUAGCAGGGAAGACUCAGCUGGAUCGAAGGUCAGGUCGACAGGGGCAAGUUGUUGGGAACGGCUUGGAGACGGGAUCUUGAGCGUGGAAGCUUGAGGGAUUUGGCGCUUGAGCAUAGAACAAAAACGAACGAAGGCCUUGUUCGGUUUCUUUUUAACGAAGUGGUUGAGAGUUGCAGUCACGAGAUAUGCAGGAAGAGACGCGAAGGAGUUCCGACAGCCGGAUUUCGAGGAAUUUCAGCGCGAUUUACGGGAUUCUUCGACAGUAUACGAGAAUAUUGGCCAUUAAAAGAGAAGCAUAAUAUCAAAUUAAGUGUUGCAGAGAUGAUGAUGCUUAGGUGGAUGUGUGGCUUUACUCUUAGAGAUUGAAUACAAAAUGAGCAUAUACGUGAAAAGGUCGGAGUAACUCAAGUGACCAACAGGUUAUACCUGAAGAAAGCUCUAUACAUGUUGCAUAUGGAAGAAAGUAAAGACUUGAAAAAACAUAUUGAUGAAUUUACAAACUCAUCAUUGAUCUUAAGAAUAUAGAUGUAAGGAUUGAGGAAGAAGAUCAAGGUAUUAUCAUUCUAAGUGCUUUACGUAAGUCAUACGAAAAUAUAGUGGAUGCAUUACUAUAUGGCAAGCGAACGUUGACCAUGACCGAGGAGAAGUCAGUCUUGGUGUCCAAACAAUUGCAGCGUAGAAAUGAGGACAAAGAUGAAAGCAUUAGCAACAUUCUGAUAGCAAGGGAAAACUUGAGUCCUGUAAGAAAUGUUUCCACAGCCAUAAGGAAGGGCAUUUCAAAAGAAAUUACCCGGAUCUACUGAAAAGAAAAGGAGUUAGGCCUAAGGAAGACGCCAACAUAGUCAAGGCAGCAAAUAAAGACAGAUGUUUUGUAGAUCUAUGACCAAGGUGGAGUUUGUUGUGAUUGGUUCAAGAAUGAUUACAUUGUACUUUCUUUUAGUUAGGUACUUUUGUAGCCAUUUGUAUUUCCUAUUUUGUUUCUUGUGAUAUCAUUAGAAGUCUUUAAAUAAGGCUUCACUGUAAUAGAAAAGAGAAAUUAAGCCAAAAACCAAGCAAUACAGAUAUCCUCUUUAGAUUU